Molecule: long non-coding RNA, 2328 nt
Organism: Heterocephalus glaber (naked mole-rat)
Lineage: Eukaryota; Metazoa; Chordata; Mammalia; Rodentia; Bathyergidae
Source: Ensembl
CCCGUCAUCCCUGCGGGGACAGCCACCCGGGGGCCAGCGUGGCCAGGAGGGCGGGCGGUGGCACGAAGAGCCCAGCCCCGCAAACCCGAGGAUUCAGAGGCACCCCGACACGGCAGCCAGGGAGCUUGCAGGCCAGACUCCCCCCUCCUGCCGGGAACCCCCCAGUCCAUCCUGGCUUUUCCCACCCCCUGCGGGUGGCCCUUCUGCCCCCCCCCUCUGUCCCCACCCCAUUCUGGCCACAGAAGUGGCCCGAGGCCCCUGGGCACUGGCUGGGAGGAAGGCAGCUGUGCCCUGAGCCUACUGGCGGAGUCUGGAGGGAGAGGCCAAGCCCCUGGAAAAUGCAGUUCUGGAGGUCGCGGAAGUGUGUGUGCAGGCGGGGGGCUGCGAGAAUCCAGUGCGCCCCACCCCACUUGGCUGGUGAAAGCCCAGGAGGGAAGGCUGCUGGUCAGGGGCACGAGGCCAUUGGGCCCCUCCCACCCCCUCCCGGCUCCCCGACCCCCAACAAGGACUCCGGGGGACAGAAGGGCUCCAGAGCAAGCGUCUCAGCUGCCCCUGCAUCUCUAGAGCAAGGGACCAAGUGUGGAGCUGAAGGUGGGCAGUGGAGCCUCCCCAGGACCCUCCCAGUCCUCGCUGCCCCAGCCCAGAUCCUGGGCCUGGAUGCCCGCAGACAGCGACAUGACUGCCAGUCAUUUCUCCUGGGUUCUGUUGGGGUCAGCAUGUCAGCUUCCAGGGGUCCCGCCUUCUCAGUUUCUGUUCCUGGAGGAUUCGGGGGCAGGGGGCAUCUAGGGAUUGAAAGGGCGGGGCUGAAAUUGAGUGGGAACCACUCCACGCGGAGGACAGACGCGUGGGUGCAGCCUCCUGCAGAUGAAUGCACAUCCAGACACCUCCCAGCCCCGCCAAGGUCCCCCGCCAGGCCCCAGGCAGCAAAGCUGAGAGAGAGGAAGCAGCCUCACACCCUGCCCUCUCCGUGGAGGCCUGGGACCCCCGCAAUGACCUCAUCGUGGGUGAGGCCGCACCCUCUGCCUGCCAGCGCCCCACCUACUGGCCUGGGCUGCCUCUCGGGGUCCCUCCUGAGGCUCUGGGGCAUCUGAGGGGGCUCCUGAUGGGCUGGCCAGGCUGCCUCCAGGGGCCGUCGACCACCGUCCAGCCUGGAGCUCCAACCUCCCUCCUUCCCACCGCAAAAGGGCUAUAGGUCUCCCUGCCCUGCCCGGGUCCAGUUUACAAACAGCGUACAGUUGCCCAGGGCCUGGCCCCACUCCUCAGUGUGCCCUCUCCUCAAGACCCCGCUUCCCCAGUGGGCAUGGGGCCCACAUGCCAGGUAAGUAGCAAACCCCCUUCUGCCAAGAGCGGACUCUCAGAAAGGCCCUGUCACUGCCCGGCUUGCUCGGGGCCUUCUGGUCUCUCCCAGCCCAAGUUCUUUUGCCUUAGGCCUCUCGACAUCCUGAUCUCUUGCAAUAACAAGGAAGCGAGACUCCACAGUAGAUGUCCCUCUUGUGCGCCCCCCUCUCUUUCUCUGUUGAGAGCCUGUUUGGGAGUUUGCUCCCUGUCUCAGUAUCUAGGCUGUUAGAGCUGGGAAAGGACAGUAGUGAUGUAGCCCAGCCCCCUCCUCAGAGCUGGAGACCAGCCUGACCCCUGCGGCCCUGGCCUGGGCAGGGCUCAGCUCCUGCCCUUACCUGCCGUGGUCAGUGUCUAUUGGUCGGCUUGGCAUCGUUAGCCCCUUAGGAGAGGUGUCGGUCAUGAUGUUUACCUCAGUUUAUGUCACUGUCAAAGAAACAAAAAAAUAGCAAAAAAUUAACACUGUAGACAUGGAGAUUUAGAGACAAAAGAAAAGACUCCCCCUUGCAACUCCUCUGUGAAGGUACAGUGUGUACGUGUGUGUGCACACGUGUGUGUGUGUCUCUGUCCCACCCUGGGGCAGGCCAGGUCAUGCCUGACCUCUCCCUGUCCUGAGGUCCCCCACAGUUCCAUGUCCUUCGGUGCUUCCCAGAGGCCCCACUGAGCUGGCCUGUGGGGUGGAGGAGCCCCCUGGAUGGGAGGUGGGGCCAAAGGUGAUCAGCCAGUGGGCCUCCGCCAGGCCCUCAGCAGAGCCCGAGGCUGCCUGGUGCUCGCUGAGCCAGGCGGUCCUGGUAGCUGGCAUCACUGCUCAUGACUGGCUCAGGGCCUGGGGCAGGUCCUGGGUGCAGCCCCAGUCCCCAGACUUUCAUGUCUCACCUCCCACCCACACCUCAUGUGUUUGUAAAUACUCUGGCAUCCUUUGGCCCUGAGAAGGUUUUUAAAUGUGUUAUUUACUUCUCUCACCAUGACAAUUGCUAUAAAAUAAAAGUUUGG